GUUUGAUCAUGGCUCAGGAUGAACGCUAGCGGCAGGCUCAACACAUGCAAGUCGAGGGGUAUAGUAGCAAUACUAGAGACCGGCGCACGGGUGCGUAACGCGUAUGCAACCUACCUUUUACAGGGGAAUAGCCCAGAGAAAUUUGGAUUAAUGCCCCAUGGUAUUAUUAAGUGGCAUCAUUUAAUAAUUAAAGUUCCANCGGUAAAAGAUGGGCAUGCGUCCUAUUAGCUAGAUGGUAAGGUAACGGCUUACCAUGGCUACGAUAGGUAGGGGUCCUGAGAGGGAGAUCCCCCACACUGGUACUGAGACACGGACCAGACUCCUACGGGAGGCAGCAGUGAGGAAUAUUGGACAAUGGGCGCAAGCCUGAUCCAGCCAUGCCGCGUGCAGGAAGAAGCAUUUAUGGUGUGUAAACUGCUUUUGUACAGGAAGAGACACUCCCUCGUGAGGGAGCUUGACGGUACUGUAAGAAUAAGGAUCGGCUAACUCCGUGCCAGCAGCCGCGGUAAUACGGAGGAUCCAAGCGUUAUCCGGAAUCAUUGGGUUUAAAGGGUCCGUAGGCGGUUUAGUAAGUCAGUGGUGAAAGCCCAUCGCUCAACGGUGGAACGGCCAUUGAUACUGCUAGACCUGAAUAUUG
Molecule: ribosomal RNA, 637 nt
Filed under: uncultured bacterium
Lineage: Bacteria
Description: bacterial SSU rRNA
Rfam family: Bacterial small subunit ribosomal RNA
Source: RNAcentral